RNAcentral lists this ribosomal RNA (497 nucleotides) under uncultured bacterium. RNAcentral describes it as "partial 16S ribosomal RNA". It matches the Rfam family "Bacterial small subunit ribosomal RNA", at positions 28 to 507 of the family's 1533-position model. The record is from RNAcentral.
GACGAACGCUGGCGGCGUGCCUAAUACAUGCAAGUUGAGCGCUGAAGGUUGGUACUUGUACCAACUGGAUGAGCAGCGAACGGGUGAGUAACGCGUGGGGAAUCUGCCUUUGAGCGGGGGACAACAUUUGGAUACGAAUGCUAAUACCGCAUAAAAACUUUAAACACAAGUUUUAAGUUUGAAAGAUGCAAUUGCAUCACUCAAAGAUGAUCCCGCGUUGUAUUAGCUAGUUGGUGAGGUAAAGGCUCACCAAGGCGAUGAUACAUAGCCGACCUGAGAGGGUGAUCGGCCACAUUGGGACUGAGACACGGCCCAAACUCCUACGGGAGGCAGCAGUAGGGAAUCUUCGGCAAUGGACGAAAGUCUGACCGAGCAACGCCGCGUGAGUGAAGAAGGGUUUCGGAUCGUAAAACUCUGUUGGUAGAGAAGAACGUUGGUGAGAGUGGAAAGCUCAUCAAGUGACGGUAACUACACAGAAAGGGACGGCUAACUACGUG